UUGGCAAGAUGCCAAACAUCUGGGUUUUGAGAGAGAGAGAGAGAGGAAUUUCCAUGGUUAAGGAACUAAAUACUUCUGUGUCCAAUGGGAUGCUCUGCAUCGUGUGGCCCCAGAGAUCGGAUGCUCUUCCCUUGCCAGGCGUCUAGUGAGCAUUAUGAGAGUCAUGCACAGUGCUCCACCUGGAGAAUUAAGCUUUUGUCCUGCAGAAGUAAGUCUUCUUACAAGGUAGCUGAAGUUACAAAGUGACUGAAGUGGAAACUUCCAGUUCUUUUAAAGGGCAGCUGGUCCAGAGCCCCCCUGUGUUGAGUCACCUAGAGAAUGGUGUCAGACUCCGACAGCAGCAGUCAGUGGCCAGCCACUUCCCCAGCACCUACUGAGUUCUGAGACUGGCAUCUUCUUCUGGAAAGUUUCCCAAGAACCCCGGAGGUUCUGUCAUUUUAGGUUGCAACAG
Molecule: non-coding RNA, 451 nt
Organism: Manis javanica (Malayan pangolin)
Lineage: Eukaryota; Metazoa; Chordata; Mammalia; Pholidota; Manidae
Source: RefSeq, a predicted model, not a curated record